CCUACGGGGGGCAGCAGUGGGGAAUAUUGCACAAUGGGGGAAACCCUGAUGCAGCAACGCCGCGUGAGUGAUGACGGUCCUCUGGUUGUAAAGCUCUGUCUUCAGGGACGAUAAUCACGGCACCCGUGGACGAAGCCACGGUUAACUCCGUGUCAGCAGCCGCGGUCACCCGUCGGUGGCGAGCGUUGUUCCGAUUUAUUGGGGGUAAAGGGGGCGUAGGCGGGUUUUUAAGUGAGGUGUGAAAUUGUCGGGGUCAACUUGAGGGCUGCAUUUCAAACUGGGGGUCUAGAGUGCAGGAGAGGAGAAUGGAAUUCCUAGUGUAGCGGUGAAAUGCGUAGAGAUUAGGAAGAACACCAGUGGCGAAGGCGAUUCACUGGACUGUAACUGACGCUGAGGCUCGAAAGCGUGGGGAGCAAACAGGAUUAGAUACCCCUGUAGUC
This 440-nucleotide ribosomal RNA is filed under the name uncultured bacterium. Its description in RNAcentral is "partial 16S ribosomal RNA". It matches the Rfam family "Bacterial small subunit ribosomal RNA", at positions 338 to 795 of the family's 1533-position model. The record is from RNAcentral.